This 208-nucleotide microRNA precursor is filed under the name Lotus japonicus. RNAcentral describes it as "miR11069 stem-loop (lja-MIR11069)". Lineage: Eukaryota; Viridiplantae; Streptophyta; Magnoliopsida; Fabales; Fabaceae. The record is from miRBase by way of RNAcentral.
UGUUCGGGGAGACAUGGGAGCCCACGGGCCGAGGAGCAAGACACCAAGAGAUCUCGACGCCACAUCUUAACCCAAAACCUUAAGGCAUUAGGUUUAUGGGUCACAUCUCUUAUAAACCUAAUGCCUUAAGGUUUUGGGUUAAGAUGUGGCGUUGAUAUCUCUUGGUGUCUUGCUCCUCGGCUCAUGGGCUCCCCUGUCUCCCCCAACA